GAUGAACGCUGGCGGCGUGCCUAAUACAUGCAAGUCGAGCGAACAGACGAGGAGCUUGCUCCUCUGAUGUUAGCGGCGGACGGGUGAGUAACACGUGGAUAACCUACCUAUAAGACUGGGAUAACUUCGGGAAACCGGAGCUAAUACCGGAUAACAUGUUGAACCGCAUGGUUCAACAGUGAAAGACGGUCUUGCUGUCACUUAUAGAUGGAUCCGCGCCGCAUUAGCUAGUUGGUAAGGUAACGGCUUACCAAGGCAACGAUGCGUAGCCGACCUGAGAGGGUGAUCGGCCACACUGGAACUGAGACACGGUCCAGACUCCUACGGGAGGCAGCAGUAGGGAAUCUUCCGCAAUGGGCGAAAGCCUGACGGAGCAACGCCGCGUGAGUGAAGAGGGUCUUCGGAUCGUAAAACUCUGUUAUUAGGGAAGAACAAAUGUGUAAGUAACUAUGCACGUCUUGACGGUACCUAAUCAGAAAGCCACGGCUAACUACGUG
RNAcentral lists this ribosomal RNA (497 nucleotides) under uncultured bacterium. Its description in RNAcentral is "partial 16S ribosomal RNA". It matches the Rfam family "Bacterial small subunit ribosomal RNA", at positions 28 to 507 of the family's 1533-position model. The record is from RNAcentral.